RNAcentral lists this ribosomal RNA (440 nucleotides) under uncultured bacterium. Its description in RNAcentral is "partial 16S ribosomal RNA". It matches the Rfam family "Bacterial small subunit ribosomal RNA", at positions 338 to 795 of the family's 1533-position model. The record is from RNAcentral.
CCUACUGGGCGCAGCAGUGGGGAAUAUUGGGCAAUGGGCGCAAGCCUGACCCAGCAACGCCGCGUGAAGGAAGAAGUAUUUCGGUAUGUAAACUUCUAUCAGCAGGGAAGAAAAUGACGGUACCUGACUAAGAAGCCCCGGCUAACUACGUGACAGCAGCCGCGGUAAUACGUCGGGGGCAAGCGUUAUCCGGAUUUACUGGGUGUAAAGGGAGCGUAGGCGGCGAUGCAAGUCAGAAGUGAAAGUGCGGGUGUCAACUCCGGGACUGCUUUUGAAACUGUGUUUCUAGAUUGCAGGAGAGGUAAGUGGAAUUCCUAGUGUAGCGGUGAAAUGCGUAGAUAUUAGGAGGAACACCAGUGGUGAAGGCGGCUUACUGGACUGUAAAUGACGCUGAGGCUCGAAAGCGUGGGGAGCAAACAGGAUUAGAUACCCUUGUAGUC